This 401-nucleotide unclassified non-coding RNA is filed under the name Bombus terrestris (buff-tailed bumblebee). RNAcentral describes it as "misc RNA ENSBTSG00005032496.1". The record is from RNAcentral. Lineage: Eukaryota; Metazoa; Arthropoda; Insecta; Hymenoptera; Apidae.
UCUUGGUUUCUCUUCCCCUCGCUACGAUCCUCUAUGUUUCUUUUCGUCUCUGCUCCUUUCUUCUCGCGCCAUCGUCUUUCAUCGCCCCUUUUUGCUCAGCAGUCGCGAAAAAGAUCCGUUUGCUCGCGUGCGAAAAUCACGCACGAUGACAGUGUGCACGCGAAACGCAUCGCCACUUUGGUAUUCCCAAACAACGCUUCUCGCGAGAAUUGUUCCUCGACUUAGGAAGACGGGAUGUAACGUCAACGCACUGACUGGCGGACCGCAUUUAGAUUCCGAUGAAUUUUCUAUCAGUUGGCUUUGCUUUUUAAACGAGUUACGUAUCCGCGAACGAGAAGAUCUGCAAUCAUCAAUCUCACGGCAGCGGCCGUGGCAUCCAAAGUACAUUUAUUAAUUGAAAG